AACGGCGAGUGAAGAGGAAGAGCUCAAAGUUGGAACCUGUUUGGCCUAGCUAAACCGGAUUGUAGACUGUAGAAGUGUUUUCCAGGCAAGCCGAGUAAAUAAGUCCUUUGGAACAGGGCAUCAUAGAGGGUGAGAAUCCCGUCUUUGGCUUGAGCAUUUGCCUUUUGUGAUACGCUUUCAAAGAGUCAGGUUGUUUGGGAAUGCAGCCUAAAUUGGGUGGUAAAUCUCACCUAAAGCUAAAUAUUGGCGAGAAACCGAUAGCGAACAAGUACCGUGAGGGAAAGAUGAAAAGAACUUUGAAAAGAGAGUUAAACAGUAUGUGAAAUUGUUAAAAGGGAACCGUUUGGAGCCAGACUGGCUUGUCUGUAAUCAAUCUAGGCUUCGGCCUGGAUGCACUUGCAGGCUAUGCCUGCCAACGACAAUUUGACUUGAGGGAAAAAACUAAGGGAAAUGUGGCCCACUUGUGGGUGUUAUAGUCCCUUAGAAAAUACCUUGGGUUGGAUUGAGGAACGCAGCGAAUGCUUUUUGGCGAGUUCUCCAGGAAGGUUUUCUGAGGUACUACGGUAUCAAGGUUGAUCUUUUUGGUUAUACUUCUAUUCGCUUAGGUUGUUGGCUUAAUGACUCUAAAUGACCCGUCUUGAAACACGGACCAAGGAGUCCACCAUUAGUGCGAGUAUUUGGGUGCCAAACCCAUAUGCGUAAGGAAACUGAUUGAUACGAAUCCAUUACGGAGGCAGUAUCGUCCGGCGCCGACGUUUUAUACUGAAUUGACCGAGACAAAGCACUAAUGAUGGGACCCGAAAGAUGGUGAACUAUGCCUGAAUAGGGUGAAGCCAGAGGAAACUCUGGUGGAGGCUCGUAGCGAUUCUGACGUGCAAAUCGAUCGUCAAUUUU
RNAcentral lists this ribosomal RNA (894 nucleotides) under Rhizopus delemar. Its description in RNAcentral is "eukaryotic LSU rRNA". It matches the Rfam family "Eukaryotic large subunit ribosomal RNA", at positions 85 to 912 of the family's 3401-position model. The record is from RNAcentral. Lineage: Eukaryota; Fungi; Mucoromycota; Mucoromycetes; Mucorales; Rhizopodaceae.